GGGAACCUGCCCUUAGGUUCGGAAUAACUCAGAGAAAUUUGAGCUAAUACCGGAUAAUGUCUUCGGACCAAAGAUUUAUCGCCUUUGGAUGGGCCCGCGUAGGAUUAGCUUGUUGGUGGGGUAAUGGCCUACCAAGGCGACGAUCCUUAGCUGGUCUGAGAGGAUGAUCAGCCACACUGGGACUGAGACACGGCCCAGACUCCUACGGGAGGCAGCAGUGGAGAAUAUUGGACAAUGGGUGAAAGCCUGAUCCAGCAAUGCCGCGUGAGUGAUGAAGGCCUUAGGGUUGUAAAGCUCUUUUACCAGGGAUGAUAAUGUCAGUACCUGGAGAAUAAGCUCCGGCUAACUCCGUGCCAGCAGCCGCGGUAAUACGGAGGGAGCUAGCGUUGUUCGGAAUUACUGGGCGUAAAGCGCACGUAGGCGGCGAUUCAAGUCAGAGGUGAAAGCCCGGGGCUCAACCCCGGAACUGCCUUUGAAACUAGAUUGCUAGAAUCCUGGAGAGGUUAGUGGAAUUCCGAGU
RNAcentral lists this ribosomal RNA (520 nucleotides) under uncultured bacterium. Its description in RNAcentral is "bacterial SSU rRNA". It matches the Rfam family "Bacterial small subunit ribosomal RNA", at positions 120 to 674 of the family's 1533-position model. The record is from RNAcentral.